ACAGACCAUAAACUUUCCCUUUAUUCAACAUGCUGUCAUUAGACUAUAAUCUACUGUCUCUACUGUUUGUCUCUACUCUAACAGGUGUCAGCUGUGAACAACUGACUCCAGUCAAGGAUGAAGAGUUCAGUUCAGAAGGCAGCUCUGUUACUCUGUCCUACACAUACUCCAAAAAAGCUGAUUAUAAUGAUUAUUUCUUCUGGUAUCGACAACAUCCAGGAAAACCACCACAGUUCCUCAUCUCUCAUCUGGCAUCAGGAGAUCUAUCAUCAGAUCCAGUCUCUGGACUGAAUGUUACUGUGAGUCGGGAUCAAACCCAAAUGGAUCUGCAGAUCUCCUCUGCUGCAGUGACAGACUCUGCUGUGUACUACUGUGCUGUGAGGCCCACAGUGACAGGAAACAGCACAACUCUGUACAAAAACACAAGCUGACUCACUGACAAGCUGCUGGAAGCCUUUUUUCCAACAAAGUGCUGAACUCAACUUUUUAGCUCCACUAGAGGGCGACAUUAUGAAGUAGGCGGUGCACUACUUGUGCUCUCUGUUCAAGCAUUGUGUCAAUAAUAACUGCUGCUGUGAAGAGAAGAAUUGUCAGACUCAGUGUUGAACAUCAGCUACUUUCUCCUGUUGCUUU
This is a non-coding RNA of Toxotes jaculatrix (banded archerfish), 633 nucleotides long. NCBI's taxonomy places the organism in Eukaryota, Metazoa, Chordata, Actinopteri, Toxotidae. The record is from the annotation of a RefSeq genome assembly.